ACUCAAAUGAAUUGACGGGGGCUCACACAAGCGGUGGAGGAUGUGGCUUAAUUCGAGGCUACGCGAAGAACCUUAUCCAGGCCUUGACAUGUACGGAUGCUGCCCGUGAAAGCGGGUUAGUUGCCUUCGGGUGAAACGUGCACAGGUGCUGCAUGGCUGUCGUCAGCUCGUGUCGUGAGAUGUCGGGUUAAGUCCCUUAACGAGCGAAACCCUUGUCUUUAGUUGCCAGCGAGUCAUGUCGGGGACUCUAAAGAGACUGCCGGUGUUAAACCGGAGGAAGGUGGGGAUGACGUCAAGUCCUCAUGGCCUUUAUGGUCUGGGCUGCACACGUCCUACAAUGGCAUAUACAAAGGGAUGCUACCUCGCGAGAGCAAGCAAAUCCCAAAAAGUAUGCCCCAGUUCGGAUUGCAGGCUGCAACUCGCCUGCAUGAAGCCGGAAUCGCUAGUAAUCGUGGAUCAGCAUGCCACGGUGAAUAUGUUCCUGAGCCUUGCACACACCGCCCGU
RNAcentral lists this ribosomal RNA (505 nucleotides) under uncultured bacterium. Its description in RNAcentral is "partial 16S ribosomal RNA". It matches the Rfam family "Bacterial small subunit ribosomal RNA", at positions 899 to 1397 of the family's 1533-position model. The record is from RNAcentral.